Molecule: ribosomal RNA, 469 nt
Filed under: uncultured Anaerolineaceae bacterium
Lineage: Bacteria; Bacillati; Chloroflexota; Anaerolineae; Anaerolineales; Anaerolineaceae
Description: bacterial SSU rRNA
Rfam family: Bacterial small subunit ribosomal RNA
Source: RNAcentral
CUCAAAGGAAUUGACGGGUCCCCGCACAAGCAGCGGAGCGUGUGGUUUAAUUCGUUGCUACACGAAGAACCUUACCUGGGUUUGACAUAGCAGUGGUAGGGAGAGAAAUCGGACCGACCCUUCGGGGAGCUGUUACAGGUGUUGCAUGGCUGUCGUCAGCUCGUGUCGUGAGAUGUUCGGUUAAGUCCGCUAACGAGCGCAACCCGCGUUGUGUGUUAUAUGUGUCACACAAUACCGCCGGUAUUAAGCCGGAGGAAGGUGCGGAUGACGUCAAGUCAGCAUGACCUUUAUAUCCAGGGCUACACACACGCUACAAUGGUCAGUACAAUGGGUUGCCAAGCCGCGAGGCGGAGCCAAUCCUAAAAAGCUGGCCUCAGUUCAGAUUGCAGUCUGAAACUCGACUGCAUGAAGUCGGAGUUGCUAGUAAACGCAGGUCAGCUAUACUGCGUUGAAUACGUUCCCGGGGCUU